This 1100-nucleotide long non-coding RNA is filed under the name Malus domestica (apple). RNAcentral's name for it is "long non-coding RNA (MDOM_LNC004381)". Lineage: Eukaryota; Viridiplantae; Streptophyta; Magnoliopsida; Rosales; Rosaceae. The record is from RNAcentral.
GUUCAUAAAAGGCAGAAGAAAUAAUAAAUCAUAUCCCAAGAUUGUAACAAUAUAUUGUUGGAGAACAAUUCAGAAAUAAAUAUAAAUAAAAUAAUUUGAAAUUUUAAUACUUUAUUAACUAAAAAUACUUGCUAUACAUAAUGAAAUUACAGAAACAAAUACAAGAAUUAAAAUGGUACUAACUUGAUUACAACAGGUAGAGGCUAGCGCAAAAGCUAUGUCCUUUGAAUAGUAUUUUCGUCCCACUCUUGUGCUUGUGGUUCUACAACGUCUACUCAACCAAGAUACAACUACCUAAUUCUAAAACCCGCACUGGAUUAUAGAAUUCUAGCGAAUUGCUUUGUGUGUUUACUCUCUUGAAUGUUUGUACGGAAGAGAAGGAAGAAGAAAAAAUGAUUUUCGAUAGAACUGAUGACUCCAAUUAUAUAGGCUAUUUCAUACCUCUUCAAAUACCUUUUGGAUGUAUCUGAAGCAAUGUUUUACAAAAGGGCCUACGCGGCUGCCUAGGCGCUGGGCGGGUUAACUUGGAACCGAGGCGAUUUCGUGCAAAACGGCUGGAAAAAUCGGAGUGCCUCUAGGCGGUGCUAGGCGGCUGGGCGUUUUUUUUAUAUUUUUGAAAUUUUAAAAAAUAAAAAAUAAAAACUUAGAUUAAGUAUCUUACAUUACUAUAUUUCCUUAUUUUCCUUCUAUUUUGCAUUUUAUGUUGUUUUAAAUUGUGAACUUGUUGUACAUGUGUCUUCCUACAUUACAAUACUCCUCACUAUAUGACAUAUAUGCUUAAUGCGUUUUUAAAUUUUGGACUUGUUGGAUACUCUUUUUGCAUUUUUAUCAUUCUUUUAUUAUCUUAUUCAUGGAUUUCAUACAAACAUAAUUUUUUGUGAGUGACAAUAUGCACUUAUUUACAAGAUAUACAAGAAAUUUACCUAAAUCCGCCUAGGCGCAUGCCGCCCGACUAGCGCCUAGCAUUUUUUAAAACCUUGAUCUGAAGCUAUACAACUCUUUCCGAAGAGUUGUGUCUAUUAAUCAAAACGUUUUUAAUUAAUUGUAAUUAAGAACUUAAUUCGAAACUAAAACUAAUUGAUCAGAUUAAUUUUAAUUCU